This is a long non-coding RNA of Polistes canadensis, 3100 nucleotides long. RefSeq lists it as uncharacterized. The transcript has 3 exons. NCBI's taxonomy places the organism in Eukaryota, Metazoa, Arthropoda, Insecta, Hymenoptera, Vespidae. The record is from RefSeq and is a predicted model, not a curated record.
CUCUUACCUCUUGUGCAUUUAUUAACAUCUUUCUUUAUAUCUAUCUACUACCUAUCUAUCUCUGUUUAUCUGUUUAUCCACAUUUUUUUUCGUUCUAUCUAUUCCCUUACCCUUUUCUUUACCCUUCUAUUUCUCUCUCUCUCUAUCUUUCUAACUACUGUCUCUCAGUUCCGGGAAACGAGUACGCCGCGAGAAAGCGAACAUCAAGAAAAGAGAGAAAUAGAGAGAGAGAGAGCAUCAGAGUUAGCGUAAUAAUCCAUACAUUCCGCGUUUGUUCAACGUCAUUUAUUCUGGAAUUUAGUGCAGACAAAUAUUACAGAUAUUCAUAACCUUAAAGUGUUUUAUUUGGUGCUUUCUUACUUGCGACGGUGAGAACAAGAAGUCAGUGGCUCCAACGAAUAAGAAGACAAGAAAUUGUUCAGAUCCGUCGGAGUGAUAUCCAAUCAUAUUUAAAGAUAUCGACGCUACUAUUAUCAACUACGAUUAAAUCUGGACUCCGAUUAUAAGAACAGCAGAAUCCGGAGUCCGAGCGUAAGGGAGGAGCCAGGAACGCGCCGAAUAAAUGACGUAAAUCCGAAGAACGGAAACGCAACGUCAUUCGCUAACUCGCAAUUCUCAUUCCCUCUUCUCUCUCCUCUCCUCACCUCCACCCCUCUCUCUCUCUGUCUCUUUUUCUUUUUAUUUUUCUAUCCAAAUCCCUUCUUCUCUCUAUUCUAUUCCAGUUUCUCACAGGCCUUCGUCCUUCGACCCGACACGGAUCGACCUACGAACCGGACCUUUGCUCUCCCUUCUUCUUCCUCCUCCUCAUCUUCUUCUUCUUCAUCUUCUUCUUUUUAUCCCCACUACUUUGCUUUUUCGCCUUUCACGUGCUUACCGGUUUUUUCUCUUUCCCUCUCUUCUAACACACAUAUAUAUAUAUAUAUAUUUUUGUUUUUUCUUUCUAUUCGAUAUUGAAGUCUCCCUUUUCUAUUAUAAUAAAUUUGAACACAUGUCGUAUAUCACGAUUGACCUCUCUCACUCGCUCGCUCGAUCCUCCUAUCGAGAGCACGUCUCGCGUCUUUAAAGUUAUUUCUUUUCUAAUUGAUUUUUCUCUCUCUCUCUCUCUCUCUCUCUCUUUUUUUCUCUCUUCUUUUUUUUUUUUUAAAAAAAAAAAAAAAAAAAAAAAAACUUUCAAUUCCUCCUGACCGACCUUCCUUUCCAGUAGACUCGACACGAGACACGCGUUGGUUUGAGACCGGCUUGAAGGACACCACCAGCGGCUUUUUGAGACACGUAUUACAUACAAUACAUGCUACUACUACUACUACUACUACAUCAUCAACAAAAGCAGCAGAAGUAGAAGUAAAAGCAGAAGAAGCAGCAGAAACAACAGCAGCAGUAGAAGUAUUACCAAUAGUAGUCUGUAUAAAAAGCAACGUUUGCGGCUACAAAACACCAAUAACAACAACAAGAACAAGAACACAAUCAUCGUCAUCGUCCCUGUUAUCUUUGUCGAGACGUUUAGAGAAGAGUUUCGAAGGCUUCCAAAAAAAGCUUUGCUCGCACGAAAGAAGAAGAGUUACGGAGUCGAGAGUAGAGAAGGAGGGUUUAAGGAAAGGAAAAGGAGAGAAAGAUUUGCGGAGUUGUGUUUUAUUCGCUGAAUUUUCGAGAGAGAGAGGAAAAGGUCUUUUUUUUUUUAAAUUAAUCGAGUGAUCAGCUAUAGCUCUAUCCUCCUUUCUUCAUCUUUGUCUUCUUCUAUUACUACUACUACUAUUUCUUCUAUUUCUUCGGACACAAGUCGAGAUCUUCCGUGAAUAUCAACUGCAUCGAACAACAACAACAACAACAAGAGUAAAAGUUAAUUGCAGUUGCACGUAAAAGUAGUAGUUAUACAAUAAAAAAAAAAAUAAAACAGUGAAGACACGCGCACGCACACGUGUCCCUGGCGCUUCCUAUAAAUUAUAUAUAAUAAUCAGAAGCGAUUAAGAAAGAAAUUUCAUUUAAAAGAGAUUAACAGUAACGUGAACAACGAUACAGUUACUACGCGAAAAAAAUUAUACGAAAACGAAGAAGUUGUUGUCCGAUAAUUGGACGAAAGAAAGCUUUAUCUUUCUCUCUCUCUCUCUCUUUCUCUCUCUCUCUCUCUCUCUCCCUCUUUCUCUCUCUCUCUCUCUCUUUCUCUCUUUCUCUCUCCUCUCUCUUUCUCUCUUUCACUCCACCUUACUUCUCGCGUUGAACGUAUUACACCCAAUUAUCAUAAAGUUCUCGGCCUAGUGUCUCUCUUUGACCGCAACGAAAAUCUUUUUUAAGCAGCAAACAGCUUUAAAAGCAUAAAGCAAAAGCCAGAAGCAGUAGCCGCUAAUAAAACGUUAACGCAACAGUCCCAGUUAGGUACUGUUUAUUACGACUGAUUAAUUAACAAUCCACACCUGAUCGUCGAUAAAAAGGAGAGCUAAGAAAAAGAAGAAAAAAAAAGAAGAGGGGACGGACGAUCCUCCAACAAUAUUGUCCUUCGUGUUUGUUAACGCGAAUAAAAUUUAUUUCUGUUCCUUCGUGGAUUUAUAAUAUUUCGCGAUUAUAUAAGAAAAAAAAAAAAAAUUCAAAUUGAAAUCAUAAUACACAUAUAAACGCGUCCAGAUAUACACGAGUGAAUCACACAUUUGUGGUUGGAUUAUUAAAAUAAUACAAGGAAGAUACGAAAAGAGAGAGAAGGCCGAAAGAUCCAAAGUUUUUCGUUCGUCGAUAAUUCCUACGAGGAGAGAUAGAAAGAAAAGAAAAGAAAGAAAGAAAAUAAAUAAGAAAAGAGGAAAAAAAAGAGGGGUGUUCAUCAAUCCUAUCGAUAAUAGAUCGGUCCUACGCGAGUGAAAGCUAAGAAGAAAAGGAAGGAAGGAAUCAACAUUAACAACAACAACCAAUUGAGACGUCUACUACUACUUGUUCUUCGUUGAUCUAGCCAAGAAUUACUACUACUACUACUACUAUUAGUUCUUCUUAUUCUUAUUCGUCUUCUCUUUCUCGUUCGAAACAACGAGAGACAGAUAAAGAAAAAAACAGAGAGAAAGAGAAAGAAAGAAAUAGAUAGAUAGAAAAGUGCAUUAAAAAGAAAGAAGGAUAGUUAAAA